CAGCCGCCACGGGAAUACAGAGGGUGCGAGCGUUAAUCGGAUUUACUGGGCGUAAAGCGUGCGUAGGCGGCUUCUUAAGUCGGAUGUGAAAUCCCUGAGCUUAACUUAGGAAUUGCAUUCGAUACUGGGAAGCUAGAGUAUGGGAGAGGAUGGUAGAAUUCCAGGUGUAGCGGUGAAAUGCGUAGAGAUCUGGAGGAAUACCGAUGGCGAAGGCAGCCAUCUGGCCUAAUACUGACGCUGAGGUACGAAAGCAUGGGGAGCAAACAGGAUUAGAUACCCCUGUAGUCCAUGUCUCUUAUAC
RNAcentral lists this ribosomal RNA (301 nucleotides) under uncultured bacterium. RNAcentral's name for it is "partial 16S ribosomal RNA". It matches the Rfam family "Bacterial small subunit ribosomal RNA", at positions 509 to 807 of the family's 1533-position model. The record is from RNAcentral.